CCCUAGCUGGCUCAGUGGGUAGAGCGUGCAACUCUUGAUCUCAGGAUAGUGAGUUCAAGCCCCACGCUGGGUG
RNAcentral lists this transfer RNA (73 nucleotides) under Ailuropoda melanoleuca (giant panda). It matches the Rfam family "tRNA". Rfam says of the family: Transfer RNA (tRNA) molecules are approximately 80 nucleotides in length. Their secondary structure includes four short double-helical elements and three loops (D, anti-codon, and T loops). The record is from Rfam by way of RNAcentral. Lineage: Eukaryota; Metazoa; Chordata; Mammalia; Carnivora; Ursidae.